CGGCGGACGGGUGAGUAACGCGUGGGUAACCUGCCUCAUACAGGGGGAUAACAGUUGGAAACGGCUGCUAAUACCGCAUAAGCGCACAGUACCGCAUGGUACGGUGUGAAAAACUCCGGUGGUAUGAGAUGGACCCGCGUCUGAUUAGGUAGUUGGUGGGGUAACGGCCUACCAAGGCGACGAUCAGUAGCCGACCUGAGAGGGUGACCGGCCACAUUGGGACUGAGACACGGCCCAA
RNAcentral lists this ribosomal RNA (238 nucleotides) under uncultured bacterium. Its description in RNAcentral is "partial 16S ribosomal RNA". It matches the Rfam family "Bacterial small subunit ribosomal RNA", at positions 96 to 334 of the family's 1533-position model. The record is from RNAcentral.